GCAAACUUGGUCAUUUAGAGGAAGUAAAAGUCGUAACAAGGUUUCCGUAGGUGAACCUGCGGAAGGAUCAUUAAUGAAUUCACUAUGGAGUUGUUGCUGGCCUCUAGGGGCAUGUGCACGCUUCACUAGUCUUUCAACCACCUGUGAACUUUUGAUAGAUCUGUGAAGUCGUCCUUCAAGUCGUCAGACUUGGUUUGCUGGGAUUUAAACGUCUCGGUGUGACAACGCAGUCUAUUUACUUAACACACCCCAAAUGUAUGUCUACGAAUGUCAUUUAAUGGGCCUUGUGCCUAUAAACCAUAAUACAACUUUCAACAACGGAUCUCUUGGCUCUCGCAUCGAUGAAGAACGCAGC
Molecule: unclassified non-coding RNA, 355 nt
Filed under: uncultured fungus
Lineage: Eukaryota; Fungi
Description: partial contains small subunit ribosomal RNA, internal transcribed spacer 1, and 5.8S ribosomal RNA
Rfam family: Eukaryotic small subunit ribosomal RNA (bases 1-73)
Source: RNAcentral